Molecule: long non-coding RNA, 1635 nt
Filed under: Sus scrofa (pig)
Lineage: Eukaryota; Metazoa; Chordata; Mammalia; Artiodactyla; Suidae
Description: lncRNA (ENSSSCG00000054084.1)
Source: RNAcentral
AUUUUUCCACUGUACAGCAAGGGGAUCAAGUUAUCCUUACAUGUAUACAUUAAAUUUACAUUUUUCCCCAUCCUUUGUUCUGUUGCAACAUGAGUAUCUAGACAAAGUUCUCUAUUUCCCCUUAGUUCACUCAUCUCCAUUUUGAUGUAGUUUGGAAUUGGCUGGACUAGAGUUUAAAUGUUUGCGUUGCUAUCUAUUAGAUGCAUGGCUUACAAAAACGUGUACACCUAUGUGUCUUUAUUACACAUCGCACUUUGUAAAACUAUCAUAAAGGCCAACACAGAAAAUAGUAAUAUUAUAUCUGAAUUCAUUUCCUGUAGGGUUCAUCCAAGAGGUUUAAUUUUGCUCCCAGUCCUAAAAUAAUAAUUUUUCUCUCAUUUGUUUGGGUUACUUCACCUAAUUUCUCAGGAUUUUCUUUCAUAAAAACCAUAUAAUUUACAAUGUAAAGUUUUUUGUCCAAAUAAAGAUUUGAUGGAGAAUAUGUAAGAUAUUUAUUUCCUCAUAUGAAAACAGAUACCAUAUUACAAACAAAUUUCUUAUAAAUGAACAUUGUAGAAAACCCAUUUCUAAUGACAAAUGAUUCUUUAAGGGAAUAAGUUGUUUUGUUUUGCUUUUAAGCUUCACUAGGCAGUACACAGUGCUGCAACUCCUCUUCUAAGAAAACAAUAAAACCUUGUCUUCAUUUCUAGUCAAAUUAUGAAUCAAUGGUACUCUUCUUAGGAGUUAUAUGAACAUAAAAGUUUGCACUACAAAGUAGAAACCCUCUGUGUUAGAAUUUGGGGUUUUCUUUAAAAAAUUUUUUUUUAAUGACACACGUUUUCCUAAGUAAUUUCAAGGCUCCUUUGCUGUGAGUUCAAUUUUAUAUGUUGUCCUCACUAAAGUAGUCUCCACUGUCACAUCAACUUAGCUAUCAGAGCUAAAAAUGAAACAUGAAAAAUGCCUUUGAGGUAAAAUGUCUGCAGAACACACAUACACAGGCACACACAUGCACACACAGAGAGAACUAUGAAUCAAAACAGAUGCAGGUGAUCUCACUUAUAUGUGGAAUCCUAAAAAAGUCAAAUACGUAGAAGCAAAAAGUAGAACCAGCGUUAUGGGGGGUGGGGGUGGGGGCAUGGAGAGAUGUUGGUCAAAAGUUACAAAGUCGAAGUUAUGUCGAAAAAAAUAACUCCAGAAAUUGAAUGCACAGCAUGAUGACAAGAGUUAGCAAUACUGUUUUUAAUUGUUAAGAGAACAGAUUGCCCUCAUCACUGAGAGAGAGAGAGAGAGAGAGAGAGAGAGAGAGAGAGAGAGAGAACUAGUUUUUAUCAAAAGGAAAGAGAUGAGGAGGGAUAAAUUAGGAGCUUGGGAUUAACAUAUACACACUACUAUAUAUAAAAUACAUAACCAACAAGUACCUACUGUAUAGCACAGGGAAUUAUACUCAGUAUUUUUUAAUAACCCAUAAGGCAAAAAGAAUCUGAAAAAGCAUAUAUAUAUAUAUGAAUCACUUUGUUGUACACCUGAAUUUAACACAAUUUAAAUCAACUAUACUUCAAUUUUUAAAAAAAGAAAGAAAAGAGAGCAGGCACAGUGAGUCUUAAAUCAAUCACCAAAAUGAUGUCAGGUGGGUCAUUUUAAAACAGACUCAAGCCU